RNAcentral lists this ribosomal RNA (246 nucleotides) under uncultured bacterium. RNAcentral's name for it is "partial 16S ribosomal RNA". It matches the Rfam family "Bacterial small subunit ribosomal RNA", at positions 524 to 769 of the family's 1533-position model. The record is from RNAcentral.
UACGGAGGGUGCGAGCGUUAAUCGGAAUUACUGGGCGUAAAGCGCACGCAGGCGGUUUGUUAAGCUAGAUGUGAAAGCCCCGGGCUCAACCUGGGAUGGUCAUUUAGAACUGGCAGACUAGAGUCUUGGAGAGGGGAGUGGAAUUCCAGGUGUAGCGGUGAAAUGCGUAGAUAUCUGGAGGAACAUCAGUGGCGAAGGCGGCCACCUGGACUAAUACUGACACUGAGGUGCGAAAGCGUGGGGAGC